This 477-nucleotide ribosomal RNA is filed under the name uncultured bacterium. Its description in RNAcentral is "partial 16S ribosomal RNA". It matches the Rfam family "Bacterial small subunit ribosomal RNA", at positions 28 to 523 of the family's 1533-position model. The record is from RNAcentral.
GACGAACGCUGGCGGCAUGCCUAACACAUGCAAGUCGAACGGUAAGGCUUCCUUCGGGAAGUACACGAGUGGCGAACGGGUGAGUAACACGUGGGUAACCUACCCUUGACUGGGGGACAACCGAGGGAAACUUCGGCUAAUACCGCAUAACGUGCAUUGCCUCAAGGUGGUGUACCAAAGCUCCGGCGGUUAAGGAUGGGCCCGCGGCAGAUUAGCUUGUUGGUGAGGUAACGGCUGACCAAGGCGACGAUCUGUAGCUGGUCUGAGAGGACGAUGAGCCACCAUGGAACUGGGACACGGUCCAGACCCUGCCGGGGGGCAGCAGGGGGGAAUCUGGCGAAAGGGGCGAAAGCCGAACGCCGCAAUGCCGCGUGAGGGAAGACGGCCUUAGGGUUGAAAACCUCUUUCAGCAGGGACGAACCCAGACGGUACCUGCAGAAGAAGCCCCGGCUAACUACGUGCCAGCCGCCGCGGUAA